This 346-nucleotide ribosomal RNA is filed under the name uncultured bacterium. Its description in RNAcentral is "partial 16S ribosomal RNA". It matches the Rfam family "Bacterial small subunit ribosomal RNA", at positions 338 to 701 of the family's 1533-position model. The record is from RNAcentral.
CCUACGGGAGGCAGCAGGGGGGAAUAUUGCACAAUGGGGGAAACCCUGAUGCAGCAACGCCGCGUGAGUGAUGAAGGCCUGCGGGGUGUAAAGCUCUGUCUGCAGGGACGAGAAUGACGGUACCUGAGGAGGAAGCCACGGCUAACUACGUGCCAGCAGCCGCGGUAAUACGUAGGUGGCGAGCGUUGUCCGGAGUUACUGGGCGUAAAGGGAGCGGAGGCGGACUUUGACGUGAGAUGUGAAAUACUCGGGCUCAACUUGAGUGCUGCAUUUCAAACUGGAAGUCUAGAGUGCAGGAGAGGAGACUGGACUUCCUUGUGUAGCGGUGACCUGCGUCGAGAUUAGG